Pelobates cultripes (western spadefoot toad) is the source of this 375-nucleotide non-coding RNA. NCBI's taxonomy places the organism in Eukaryota, Metazoa, Chordata, Amphibia, Anura, Pelobatidae. The record is from the annotation of a GenBank genome assembly.
GAGAGAUGCUCUGCAUGUACAGGGUCAGUGAGUGGCUAGGAGAGAUGCUCUGAAUGUACAGGGUCAGUGAGUGGCUAGGAGAGAUGCUCUGCAUGUACAGGGUCAGUCAGUGACUAGGAGAGAUGCUCUGCAUGUACAGGGUCAGUCAGUGACUAGGAGAGAUGCUCUGCAUGUACAGGGUCAGUGAGUGACUAGGAGAGAUGCUCUGCAUGUACAGGGUCAGUGAGUGGCUAGGAGAGAUGCUCUGCAUGUACAGGGUCAGUCAGUGACUAGGAGGGAUGCUCUGCAUGUACAGGGUCAGUCAGUGACUAGGAGAGAUGCUCUGCAUGUACAGGGUCAGUGAGUGGCUAGGAGGAAUGCUCUGCACAUGUAGGC